GUGCCAGCAGCCGCGGUAAUACAGAGGGUGCGAGCGUUAAUCGGAAUUACUGGGCGUAAAGGGCGCGUAGGCGGUUGGAUGAGUGUGAUGUGAAAGCCCCGGGCUUAACCUGGGAAGAGCAUCGCAAACGAUCUAACUGGAGUAGAUGAGAGGGUGGCGGAAUUUCCGGUGUAGCGGUGAAAUGCGUAGAGAUCGGAAGGAACGUCAAUGGCGAAGGCAGCCACCUGGCAUCAUACUGACGCUGAGGCGCGAAAGCGUGGGGAGCGAACAGGAUUAGAAACCCGCGUAGUCC
RNAcentral lists this ribosomal RNA (292 nucleotides) under uncultured bacterium. Its description in RNAcentral is "partial 16S ribosomal RNA". It matches the Rfam family "Bacterial small subunit ribosomal RNA", at positions 505 to 796 of the family's 1533-position model. The record is from RNAcentral.